This 468-nucleotide ribosomal RNA is filed under the name uncultured bacterium. Its description in RNAcentral is "partial 16S ribosomal RNA". It matches the Rfam family "Bacterial small subunit ribosomal RNA", at positions 28 to 507 of the family's 1533-position model. The record is from RNAcentral.
GAUGAACGCUGGCGGCGUGCUUAACACAUGCAAGUCGAACGGUGACGGCGGAGCUUGCUCUGCUGGAUCAGUGGCGAACGGGUGAGUAACCCGUGAGCAAUCUGCCCCUGACUCUGGGAUAAGCGCUGGAAACGGCGUCUAAUACUGGAUACGAGCUGCGGCGGCAUCUUCAGCAGCUGGUAAGAAUUUCGGUCAGGGAUGGGCUCGCGGCCUAUCAGCUUGUUGGUGAGGUAAUGGCUAACCAAGGCGUCGACGGGUAGCCGGCCUGGGAGGGUGACCGGCCACACUGGGACUGAGACACGGCCCAGACUCCUACGGGAGGCAGCAGUGGGGAAUAGUGCACAAGGGGCGAAGGCCUGAUGCAGCAACGCCGCGUGAGGGACGACGGCCUUCGGGUUGUAAACCUCUUUUAGCAGGGAAGAAGCGAAAGUGACGGUACCUGCAGAAAAAGCGCCGGCUAACUACGUG